Molecule: long non-coding RNA, 269 nt
Filed under: Lathyrus oleraceus (garden pea)
Lineage: Eukaryota; Viridiplantae; Streptophyta; Magnoliopsida; Fabales; Fabaceae
Description: Pisum sativum (pea) long non-coding RNA (PSAT_LNC014700)
Source: RNAcentral
UGAUAAUACAUAGGCACGAGGAUGUGAAUCCUUGGUGAUAAAUUUUCUUUCUUUUUUCCCUUUCUCUCUCUGGUUCUCCGAACUACGGAGCUCUGACUUUCUUAUUGAACCAUGAGAAUACGUAGGCAUGAGGGCCUCAAUCCUCUUCGAGCACCCUUUUCCUAACCCAUUUUCCGUUUUGCAAGUACAUGAAAAUAUCAACACUCAUCCAAGCAAGAAUAUUCAAGACGGUUCCCAUCGAGUGUCUUGGAUGUGAGGGGUGCUAAUAC